AGGCGGGGUAACGGCCCACCUAGGCGACGAUCAGUAGCCGGACUGAGAGGUUGACCGGCCACAUUGGGACUGAGACACGGCCCAGACUCCUACGGGAGGCAGCAGUGGGGAAUAUUGGGCAAUGGGCGCAAGCCUGACCCAGCAACGCCGCGUGAAGGAAGAAGGCUUUCGGGUUGUAAACUUCUUUUGUCGGGGACGAAACAAAUGACGGUACCUGACGAAUAAGCCACGGCUAACUAC
RNAcentral lists this ribosomal RNA (240 nucleotides) under uncultured bacterium. RNAcentral's name for it is "partial 16S ribosomal RNA". It matches the Rfam family "Bacterial small subunit ribosomal RNA", at positions 250 to 504 of the family's 1533-position model. The record is from RNAcentral.